Long non-coding RNA from Prunus persica (peach), 860 nucleotides. RefSeq lists it as uncharacterized. NCBI's taxonomy places the organism in Eukaryota, Viridiplantae, Streptophyta, Magnoliopsida, Rosales, Rosaceae. The transcript has 2 exons. The record is from RefSeq and is a predicted model, not a curated record.
UCUCAAUGAUGUCCUUAAAUGGUGAUUUUUCCUAGGAAGAAAAAUGACAGAGAGAUGAGCAUUGACCUGAUAUGGGUAACGGCAACGUUUUGACUUUCUGCACUCUGCAGGCUGCUGCUGCUGCACAAUAAUAACAUCAAAUCUAUCAAUGCUCAUUCAUGGCAUUUUGGCACCCUUCUCCUCCUCCAAACUCGAAAGACAGAAUCAUCACUCCAUAUCAUUGCCAUUUACUCUGCCUGCCUCCCCCUCUCCCUAUCUCUCUAAAAAGUCAAAACACUCAAAUCCCAAUUUACAGCCUCCAGUUCUUUCUUCUCCAUCUGUUCUUUAUAAAGGAGACACAGAGAGCUUUUUUAAUCUGUUCUUAAAAGCUUGAGAUGAAAACAAUGGCAAAUGGGCUCAAUUUGAUCUUCCUUUUGGGUUUUCUACUUCUAUUGUCAAGGGCAGAAGCCAGAUCAAUGCCUGCUGCCUCCAUUUUACCUGAGUCUUAUCCAAAUGCUUCUUCUUCCAAUAUUCCCAUAAGAUCAUCACCUAUUGAGGAACCAAGCCUGGAUGUGGAUGAUGAUGAUGCUUGCAAGGGUUUAAACAGUGAAGAGUGUUUGAUCAGAAGGUCCAUGGUUGCUCACACAGACUAUAUCUACACACAAGACAUCAGCUCUACUGGACCAUGAAUCCAUGAUACUAAAAUAUGAUAUAUUUUCUCUUCACUAGCUAGCCACUGUAUUUCAUAAAUUUUGCUGAUCCUGUAAUGAAGGAAACUCAGGUUUUGUGUUUAAGUUGAUCAAUGAUGUGUUUCACGCUACAUCCCAGAGCUAGCUCACAUGAAAAACCAAAGUCAAAGUUAUGUUUGUUUGCGUGUACCA